UUGACGGGGCCGCACAAGCGGUGAGCAUGUGGUUAAUUCGAUGCAACGCGAAAACCUUACCACCUUGACAUGUACGGAAGCCUUUAGAGAUAGAGGCGUGCUCGAAAGAGAGCCGUAACACAGGUGCUGCAUGGCUGUCGUCAGCUCGUGUCGUGAGAUGUUGGGUUAAGUCCCGCAACGAGCGCAACCCUUGUCAUUAGUUGCUACAUUCAGUUGGGCACUCUAAUGAGACUGCCGGUGACAAGCCGGAGGAAGGUGGGGAUGACGUCAAGUCCUCAUGGCCCUUAUAGGUGGGGCUACACACGUCAUACAAUGGCUGGUACAAAGGGUUGCCAACCCGCGAGGGGGAGCUAAUCCCAUAAAGCCAGUCGUAGUCCGGAUCGUAGUCUGCAACUCGACUACGUGAAGUCGGAAUCGCUAGUAAUCGUGGAUCAGAAUGUCACGGUGAAUACGCUCCCGGGUCUU
This 465-nucleotide ribosomal RNA is filed under the name uncultured Rhodoferax sp. RNAcentral's name for it is "bacterial SSU rRNA". It matches the Rfam family "Bacterial small subunit ribosomal RNA", at positions 910 to 1382 of the family's 1533-position model. The record is from RNAcentral. Lineage: Bacteria; Pseudomonadati; Pseudomonadota; Betaproteobacteria; Burkholderiales; Comamonadaceae.